UUUAAUGUUGCCUUAUGCUGU
Molecule: non-coding RNA, 21 nt
Filed under: Mus musculus (house mouse)
Lineage: Eukaryota; Metazoa; Chordata; Mammalia; Rodentia; Muridae
Also listed under: 1 other name
Source: RNAcentral